Molecule: ribosomal RNA, 215 nt
Filed under: uncultured fungus
Lineage: Eukaryota; Fungi
Description: partial small subunit ribosomal RNA
Rfam family: Eukaryotic small subunit ribosomal RNA (bases 47-215)
Source: RNAcentral
GAAUCAGCACGUCGGUCGUGCCUUCGGUAUGUACUGGCGUUGCUGGUUUCUCCCUUCUGAUGAGCCGUGAUGCCAUUAAUUUGGUGUUAUGAGGAGUCAGGACUGUUACUUUGAAAAAAUUAGAGUGUUCAAAGCAGGCCAAGCCUGAAUACAUUAGCAUGGAAUAAUAAAAUAGGACGUGUGGUUCUAUUUUGUUGGUUUCUAGAAUCGCCGUA